UUGGAGGGCAAGUCUGGUGCCAGCAGCCGCGGUAAUUCCAGCUCCAAUAGCGUAUAUUAAAGUUGUUGCAGUUAAAAAGCUCGUAGUUGAAUUUCGGGAUCAAUUUAUUGGUCGUGCUAUUGUACGUACUGGUAUUAUUGAUUUCUACCUUCUGACGAACCAUGAUGUCAUUAAUUUGGUGUCUUGGGGAAUCAGGACUGUUACUUUGAAAAAAUUAGAGUGUUUAAAGCAGGCUCACGCUUGAAUACAUUAGCAUGGAAUAACGAAAUAGGACGUUUGAUUCUAUUUUGUUGGUUUCUAGGAUCGACGUAAUGAUUAAUAGGGAUAGUUGGGGGCAUUAGUAUUCAAUUGUCAGAGGUGAAAUUCUUGGAUUUAUUGAAGACUAACUACUGCGAAAGCAUUUGCCAAGGAUGUUUUCAUUAAUCAAGAACGAAAGUUAGGGGAUCGAAGACGAUCAGAUACCGUCGUAGUCUUAACCAUAAACUAUGCCGACUAGGGAUCGGAUGAUGUUAAUUUUUUAAUGACUCAUUCGGCGCCUUACGGGAAAC
Molecule: ribosomal RNA, 548 nt
Filed under: uncultured Glomus
Lineage: Eukaryota; Fungi; Glomeromycota; Glomeromycetes; Glomerales; Glomeraceae
Also listed under: 1 other name
Description: SSU rRNA
Rfam family: Eukaryotic small subunit ribosomal RNA
Source: RNAcentral